GUCGAAGGUGGAAUCAAUAACUGGGGUGAAGUCGUAACAAGGUAGCCGUAUCGGAAGGUGCGGCUGGAUCACCUCCUUUCUAAGGAGA
This 88-nucleotide ribosomal RNA is filed under the name Clostridioides difficile. RNAcentral describes it as "partial 16S ribosomal RNA". The stretch from base 1 to 79 matches the Rfam family "Bacterial small subunit ribosomal RNA", at positions 1455 to 1533 of the family's 1533-position model. The record is from RNAcentral. Lineage: Bacteria; Bacillati; Bacillota; Clostridia; Peptostreptococcales; Peptostreptococcaceae.